UGUGAGGGUGAUCUGGCUGUACUGUCUGUGACCUCAUGGUUACCCAGGGUUGAUUCAGCUGAUUUGAUUGGCUAGGAAGAUGUUCUCUUCCUCCCUCCCUGU
This 102-nucleotide small RNA is filed under the name Nannospalax galili (Upper Galilee mountains blind mole rat). RNAcentral describes it as "7SK RNA (ENSNGAG00000005991.1)". It matches the Rfam family "7SK RNA", at positions 4 to 105 of the family's 331-position model. From Rfam's summary of the family: 7SK was discovered as an abundant small nuclear RNA in the mid-70s but a possible function has only recently been suggested. Two independent studies have found that 7SK RNA binds the CDK9/cyclin T complex (known as elongation factor P-TEFb). Lineage: Eukaryota; Metazoa; Chordata; Mammalia; Rodentia; Spalacidae. The record is from RNAcentral.